GAGUUUGAUCCUGGCGUCAGGAGUGAACGCUAGCUACAGGCUUAACACAUGCAAGUCGAGGGGAAACGACAUCGAAAGCUUGCUUUGAUGGGCGUCGACCGGCGCACGGGUGAGUAACGCGUAUCCAACCUGCCCACCACUUGGGGAUAACCUUGCGAAAGUAAGACUAAUACCCAAUGAUAUCUCUAGAAGACAUCUGAAAGAGAUUAAAGAUUUAUCGGUGAUGGAUGGGGAUGCGUCUGAUUAGCUUGUUGGCGGGGUAACGGCCCACCAAGGCAACGAUCAGUAGGGGUUCUGAGAGGAAGGUCCCCCACAUUGGAACUGAGACACGGUCCAAACUCAUACGGGAGGCAGCA
Molecule: ribosomal RNA, 356 nt
Filed under: uncultured bacterium
Lineage: Bacteria
Description: bacterial SSU rRNA
Rfam family: Bacterial small subunit ribosomal RNA
Source: RNAcentral